CGGGUGCCGACGAGUGGCGAACGGGUGAGUAAUGUAUCGGAACGUACCUUUCAGUGGGGGAUAACGUAGCGAAAGUUACGCUAAUACCGCAUAUUCUGUGAGCAGGAAAGCAGGGGAUCGCAAGACCUUGCGCUGAUUGAGCGGCCGAUAUCAGAUUAGCUAGUUGGUGAGGUAAAGGCUCACCAAGGCGACGAUCUGUAGCGGGUCUGAGAGGAUGAUCCGCCACACUGGAACUGAGACACGGUCCAGACUCCUACGGGAGGCAGCAGUGGGGAAUUUUGGACAAUGGGGGCAACCCUGAUCCAGCCAUGCCGCGUGAGUGAAGAAGGCCUUCGGGUUGUAAAGCUCUUUCGGCCGGGAAGAAAUCGUAUGGGGUUAAUACCCUGUGCGGAUGACGGUACCGGCAUAAGAAGCACCGGCUAACUACGUGCCAGCAGCCGCGGUAAUACGUAGGGUGCGAGCGUUAAUCGGAAUUACUGGGCGUAAAGCGCGCGCAGGCGGUUUUGUAAGACAGGCGUGAAAUCCCCGGGCUCAACCCGGGAACUGCGCUUGUGACUGCAAGGCUAGAGUACGGCAGAGGGGGGUGGAAUUCCACGUGUAGCAGUGAAAUGCGUAGAGAUGUGGAGGAACACCAAUGGCGAAGGCAGCCCCCUGGGUCGAUACUGACGCUCAUGCACGAAAGCGUGGGUAGCAAACAGGAUUAGAUACCCUGGUAGUCCACGCCCUAAACGAUGUCAACUAGGUGUUGGGUGGGUAAAACCAUUUAGUACCGGAGCUAACGCGUGAAGUUGACCGCCUGGGGAGUACGGCCGCAAGGUUAAAACUCAAAGGAAUUGACGGGGACCCGCACAAGCGGUGGAUGAUGUGGAUUAAUUCGAUGCAACGCGAAAAACCUUACCUACCCUUGACAUGUCCAGGAGCCUGAAGAGAUUUGGGUGUGCCCGAAAGGGAACUGGAACACAGGUGCUGCAUGGCUGUCGUCAGCUCGUGUCGUGAGAUGUUGGGUUAAGUCCCGCAACGAGCGCAACCCUUGUCGUUAAUUGCCAUCAUUUAGUUGGGCACUUUAACGAGACUGCCGGUGACAAACCGGAGGAAGAUGGGGAUGACGUCAAGUCCUCAUGGCCCUUAUGGGUAGGGCUUCACACGUCAUACAAUGGUCGGUACAAAGGGUCGCCAACCCGCGAGGGGGAGCCAAUCCCAGAAAGCCGAUCGUAGUCCGGAUCGUAGGCUGCAACUCGCCUGCGUGAAGUCGGAAUCGCUAGUAAUCGUGGAUCAGCAUGUCGCGGUGAAUACGUUCCCGGGUCUUGUACACACCGCCCGUCACACCAUGGGAGCGGGUUCCGCCAGAAGUAGGUAGCCUAACCGCAAGGGGGGCGCUUACCACGGCGGGGUUCGUGACUGGGGUGAAGUCGGAA
Molecule: ribosomal RNA, 1415 nt
Filed under: metagenome
Description: bacterial SSU rRNA
Rfam family: Bacterial small subunit ribosomal RNA
Source: RNAcentral